AGAGUUUGAUCCUGGCUCAGGAUGAACGCUGGCGGCGUGCUUAACACAUGCAAGUCGAACGGACGAUGAAGAGCUUGCUUUUCAGAGUUAGUGGCGGACGGGUGAGUAACGCGUGGGUAACCUGCCUCAUACAGGGGGAUAGCAGCUGGAAACGGCUGAUAAAACCGCAUAAGCGCACAGCAUCGCAUGAUGCAGUGUGAAAAACUCCGGUGGUAUGAGAUGGACCCGCGUCUGAUUAGCUUGUUGGUGAGGUAACGGCCCACCAAGGCGACGAUCAGUAGCCGGCCUGAGAGGGUGACCGGCCACAUUGGGACUGAGACACGGCCCAAACUCCUACGGGAGGCAGCAGUGGGGAAUAUUGCACAAUGGGGGAAACCCUGAUGCAGCGACGCCGCGUGAAGGAAGAAGUAUCUCGGUAUGUAAACUUCUAUCAGCAGGGAAGAUAAUGACGGUACCUGACUAAGAAGCCCCGGCUAACUACGUGCCAGCAGCCGCGGUAAUACGUAGGGGGCAAGCGUUAUCCGGAUUUACUGGGUGUAAAGGGAGCGUAGGCGGCGGAGCAAGUCAGAAGUGAAAGCCCGGGGCUCAACCCCGGGACGGCUUUUGAAACUGCCCUGCUUGAUUUCAGGAGAGGUAAGCGGAAUUCCUAGUGUAGCGGUGAAAUGCGUAGAUAUCAGGAGGAACAUCGGUGGCGUAAGCGCUUUACUGGGCCGUAAUUGACACUGAGGAACGAAAGCCGGGGUAGCAAAUGGGAUUAGAUACCCCAGUAGUCCCGGCCGUAAACGAUGGAUACUAGGUGUUGCGGGUAUCGACCCCUGCAGUGCCGCAGCUGACGCGUUAAGUAUCCCGCCUGGGGAGUACGCACGCAAGUGUGAAACUCAAAGGAAUUGACGGGGACCCGCACAAGCGGUGGAACAUGUGGUUUAAUUCGAAGCAACGCGAAGAACCUUACCAGGGCUUGACAUCUAACAAAUCUCUAUGAAAGUAGAGAGUGCUCUUCGGAGAAUAUUAAGACAGGUGGUGCACGGUUGUCGUCAGCUCGUGUCGUGAGAUGUUGGGUUAAGUCCCGCAACGAGCGCAACCCUCGUCGUUAGUUGGAUGUAUCGGUAUACUUAUACAUUCCUCUCUAGCGAGACUACCGGUGAUAAACCGGAGGAAGGUGGGGACGACGUCAAAUCAUCAUGCCCCUUAUGAUCUGGGCUACACACGUGCUACAGUGGCGUUUAACAAAGAGAAGCGAAGCCGCGAGGUGGAGCAAAUCUCAGAAACAACGUCUCAGUUCGGACUGGAGUCUGCAACCCGACUCCACGAAGCUGGAUUCGCUAGUAAUCGCGCAUCAGCCACGGCGCGGUGAAUACGUUCCCGGGCCUUGCACACACCGCCCGUCA
Molecule: ribosomal RNA, 1388 nt
Filed under: uncultured bacterium
Lineage: Bacteria
Description: bacterial SSU rRNA
Rfam family: Bacterial small subunit ribosomal RNA
Source: RNAcentral